AAUAGAUACCCCGGUAGUCCACGCCGUAAACGAUGAGUGCUAAGUGUUAGAGGGUUUCCGCCCCUUAGUGCUGCAGCUAACGCAUUAAGCACUCCGCCUGGGGAGUACGGCCGCAAGGCUGAAACUCAAAGGAAUUGACGGGGGCCCGCACAAGCGGUGGAGCAUGUGGUUUAAUUCGAAGCAACGCGAAGAACCUUACCAGGUCUUGACAUCCUCUGCCAACCCUAGAGAUAGGGCGUUCCCCUUCGGGGGACAGAGUGACAGGUGGUGCAUGGUUGUCGUCAGCUCGUGUCGUGAGAUGUUGGGUUAAGUCCCGCAACGAGCGCAACCCUUGAUCUUAGUUGCCAGCAUUCAGUUGGGCACUCUAAGGUGACUGCCGGUGACAAACCGGAGGAAGGUGGGGAUGACGUCAAAUCAUCAUGCCCCUUAUGACCUGGGCUACACACGUGCUACAAUGGAUGGUACAAAGAGCUGCGAACCCGCGAGGGUAAGCGAAUCUCAUAAAGCCAUUCUCAGUUCGGA
Molecule: ribosomal RNA, 522 nt
Filed under: uncultured bacterium
Lineage: Bacteria
Description: bacterial SSU rRNA
Rfam family: Bacterial small subunit ribosomal RNA
Source: RNAcentral